CUAGUUAGUGUACGAUUUAAUAUUUGUUCACUAUAAUGCUCUUUUAUGUUCAUAGAAUCUUAAAAAUUAUUCACCUAGUUAUUAUAUUUUAUACCUCAUCAUGCUUAUUCGCGAAUUAUUUUUCACCAUGCUUAUGUGAUGAAUCACGCUACUCUUGGGACUUAUUCAAAAUAAAGUACCAUUUUGUUUAGAUCAGAAUCAACAUCACAACGUGUUCUUAAGCAUUUUUCGCAAUUAUAGUAAAAUUACUGGACUCUAACACCAAGUGUCAUGCCAAUCUGAGUUUAUUGAGCUGUGACUCAAGUGAAAAUCGUAAGAAAGAAAAAUAGAAAUGUGUUAAUGUGUAUAAAAAGUGUCAGGAGUAGAUCAUCCUUCGCCGUCACAAUGCCGGUCUUUCCGUGAUUUUCCCGGUUCAGAUUGCAUCAGAAACAGCACCCUUAAAGGAGAUUUUUCCACAAAAAAAGCUGCCGCAGGAAGCGGUGAAUGGAGGUAAGUUCGUUUAUCAUAUUUAUUUCGGAAUUUUGUUAUCAUUUUGUCACUAUUCCAGUUCAUUAUCCGGGAGACCUCAUCCAUUCCGGCCAUCGUGAGCAAGACGGAUUUGCGGCAAAUAUGCUGGAAAUGGUGGAUUCUGACCAAAUCAGAACAGGAACAGAUUGGCAGCAGCAAUGGGUAGCACAUCAGAUAGAACUUUAAAUAAAUGCGUUACAUGGUAAAAUCACAUUCUCACAUUUUUCUGUUCUUUGUUUACUUUAAUUAAAGAAAAAUGGUUUAUUUUAUUCAUAGCACAGAAUUUUAGGAUUAUAAGCCUUUAAUGCAUAAUUUCUGAAUAAUCAUUUAUCAAUAUAAAACCCGUUUAUGCUAGCCAAGAUUAAAACGCUAAAAUGCAUAUCACUGAGUAAAUAGACCGAAUAUGGUUUUAGAAUGGUAUCUAAGCCAUCUAGUAUAAUAUUUUCUUAGCGUGUACACGGAGUCUGUUAGUAUGCAAUAAAGAAAACGAAUAGAUUUUUAAAGGGCCAACCUGUUUUGCGUUGCCGAAGCCUCGAUGGAAGGUAUGGUAACGUUGAUUUUCUCUCCCCUUCAUUCGCAUUGCAUUAUAACGCAAACGUAAUAAUGACGUCAUGCAAACCGAAUUGAAGAACAUUCAAAGUGUGAAUGCAAAGGCAACAUAAAAUCAGCACACCUAUUUUUCGGCUCCUUUGCUUUCAGCCAUCUGUCAAACUCUUGUUUUGAUUUCGUUUCUGCGCCGUAAAGUUCGGAGCGGCAUCUCGGCAGUGAUUAGGUUUUAGGUUCCUGCUCAAAAAUCUUACCGUUUAUUCCAGCUCAUCAGAUGGAGGCAAACGAAGAAAUGAUAGACGACUGCGAGGCGAGUUUUUCUGGUCAGUUGCGGGGUUCGAAUGGUCCCACGCUUGGUGCAUAAAUGGAUGAGUCACUCGAUCUCUGUGUCCAUCGCCAUUCAGUUCUCUUUUGACUUCCAACAGAUGCUAGUUCUCUGGUUGUGCUACGUGACUGCACCAACGCUAUGAGGGAAGACCAGCUUGAUGAAUUCUUUGUUUCUCCGCCAACUCCAAAGCGCAACCCAACGCAUAGAAAUUAUGUCAAUCGCACACAUAUCGUCUUGACGGCUGCCGAAAGGCUGGAAGAAAUGCGGCUUCUUGAAGAAAAAAAAAGCAACAAACAGAAUUUAAGAAGAAAAAAGCGGAAAUGCGUGAAAUUCGUAAGAAAGAAAAAGAGAAGGAGGCAGAAGAAAGGAAGAAGAUGAAGUUGUUGAGGGAAAAGGAGAAACAACUGAUGAUUCAGCUGAAUAAAGAGAAAGGAUUGAAAUUGAUUAUUGAGCAACAAAUGCUGAAGGAACUCGUAGAUCGAGAUAAGACAACACAGAUACAAGUAAAAACGUUGUUUCAGAAAUAAUAAACAUUACAAAUAAUAAAAAAUCAGAAAAGAAAAACUAGCAAAAUGAUAAUUCGAACAUAAACUAAUGUGAACAUUCAUUUU
Long non-coding RNA from Aedes aegypti (yellow fever mosquito), 1992 nucleotides. RefSeq lists it as uncharacterized. The transcript has 3 exons. The record is from RefSeq and is a predicted model, not a curated record. Lineage: Eukaryota; Metazoa; Arthropoda; Insecta; Diptera; Culicidae.